This 577-nucleotide ribosomal RNA is filed under the name uncultured bacterium. RNAcentral's name for it is "bacterial SSU rRNA". It matches the Rfam family "Bacterial small subunit ribosomal RNA", at positions 62 to 635 of the family's 1533-position model. The record is from RNAcentral.
UCGAGCGGUAGAGAGAAGCUUGCUUCUCUUGAGAGCGGCGGACGGGUGAGUAAUGCCUAGGAAUCUGCCUGGUAGUGGGGGAUAACGUUCGGAAACGGACGCUAAUACCGCAUACGUCCUACGGGAGAAAGCAGGGGACCUUCGGGCCUUGCGCUAUCAGAUGAGCCUAGGUCGGAUUAGCUAGUUGGUGAGGUAAUGGCUCACCAAGGCGACGAUCCGUAACUGGUCUGAGAGGAUGAUCAGUCACACUGGAACUGAGACACGGUCCAGACUCCUACGGGAGGCAGCAGUGGGGAAUAUUGGACAAUGGGCGAAAGCCUGAUCCAGCCAUGCCGCGUGUGUGAAGAAGGUCUUCGGAUUGUAAAGCACUUUAAGUUGGGAGGAAGGGCAGUAAAUUAAUACUUUGCUGUUUUGACGUUACCGACAGAAUAGCACCGGCUAACUCUGUGCCAGCAGCCGCGGUAAUACGUAGGGAGCGAGCGUUGUCCGGAUUCAUUGGGCGUAAAGAGCUCGUAGGCGGCUUGGUAAGUCGGAUGUGAAAGCUCCAGGCUCAACCUGGAGUCGCCAUCCGAUACUG